UUUGAUCAAUCUUUUCCUAAUUUUUAUUAAGACUGCAACGAAAGUGUGCCCUCAUUAUUACAUUUUUCACAAACCUGUUAGCAUACAAAGGGCCUUUGUUUCUCAUUACCACCCGGGGCUCCUUAAGGCGUUUUAUGGAGUGAUGUGCUUUAUUAAAAAGCGUUUUCACCAACUUAAAAGUUGGAAUAAUUGUCCAAAUGGUUACAUGACCCAGGAGUUCUAUAUUU
Molecule: long non-coding RNA, 227 nt
Filed under: Homo sapiens (human)
Lineage: Eukaryota; Metazoa; Chordata; Mammalia; Primates; Hominidae
Description: non-protein coding lnc-PLXNB1-1:1
Source: RNAcentral